GACGAACGCUGGCGGCGUGCUUAACACAUGCAAGUCGAACGGAAAGGCCCUGCUUUUGUGGGGUGCUCGAGUGGCGAACGGGUGAGUAACACGUGAGUAACCUGCCCUUGACUUUGGGAUAACUUCAGGAAAAUGGGGCUAAUACCGGAUAGGAGCUCCUGCUGCAUGGUGGGGGUUGGAAAGUUUCGGCGGUUGGGGAUGGGCUCGGGGCUUAUCAGCUGGUUGGUGGGGUAGUGGCUUACCAAGGCUUUGACGGGUAGCCGGCCUUAGAGGGUGACCGGCCACAUUGGGACUGAGAUACGGCCCAGACUCCUACGGGAGGCAGCAGUGGGGAAUAUUGCACAAUGGGCGGAAGCCUGAUGCAGCAACGCCGCGUGCGGGAUGACGGCCUUCUGGUUGUAAACCGCUUUCGCCUGUGACGAAGCGUGAGUGACGGUAAUGGGUAAAGAAGCACCGGCUAACUACGUG
RNAcentral lists this ribosomal RNA (468 nucleotides) under uncultured bacterium. RNAcentral's name for it is "partial 16S ribosomal RNA". It matches the Rfam family "Bacterial small subunit ribosomal RNA", at positions 28 to 507 of the family's 1533-position model. The record is from RNAcentral.